UGUGGCUCAGCGGUAGAGUGCUUGCCUAGCAUGUAUGAGGCACUGGGUUCAAUUCUCAGCA
Molecule: transfer RNA, 61 nt
Filed under: Ictidomys tridecemlineatus (thirteen-lined ground squirrel)
Lineage: Eukaryota; Metazoa; Chordata; Mammalia; Rodentia; Sciuridae
Description: Spermophilus tridecemlineatus (thirteen-lined ground squirrel) tRNA
Rfam family: tRNA
About the family: Transfer RNA (tRNA) molecules are approximately 80 nucleotides in length.
Source: Rfam by way of RNAcentral